Long non-coding RNA from Lemur catta (Ring-tailed lemur), 299 nucleotides. RefSeq lists it as uncharacterized. Lineage: Eukaryota; Metazoa; Chordata; Mammalia; Primates; Lemuridae. The record is from RefSeq and is a predicted model, not a curated record. The transcript is spliced from 4 exons.
ACAUGGAUCUUUGGGACAGAAAAUUAACCCUGUACUACUAGUCCUGGAAUAGCCUGGGCAGGACUGGGCCACCCUCAUGAGCAGCCGAAGAAGGAGCUGUUUCUCUAAACUCCUGCAGGAGCACCCCAAGAAACCCCCCAGUGAUUUUCCAACCAGGCAGGUCAUAUCAACCUGGCCCUGUUGCUACUGCAAAGUUUUGACCCAGCACAGAAGCCCUCAUCAAAAGCCAAGCAGAUGCUGGCGCCGUGCCCCUUCCCAGCUGCAGAAUUAAUCGCUGUGAAGACUGAAGGGAAAAAAAU